AGCAGUAGCCGCGGUAAUACGGAGGGGGCUAGCGUUGUUCGGAAUUACUGGGCGUAAAGCGCACGUAGGCGGCUUGGUAAGUUAGAGGUGAAAGCCCGGGGCUCAACCCCGGAAUUGCCUUUAAGACUGCCGAGCUAGCAGGUGAGAGAGGUGAGUGGAAUUCCGAGUGUAGAGGUGAAAUUCGUAGAUAUUCGGAAGAACACCAGUGGCGAAGGCGGCUCACUGGCUCAUACUGGACGCUGAGGUGCGAAAGCGUGGGGAGCAAACAGGAUUAGAUACCCCGGUAGUCCCUGUCUCUUAUAC
Molecule: ribosomal RNA, 303 nt
Filed under: uncultured bacterium
Lineage: Bacteria
Description: partial 16S ribosomal RNA
Rfam family: Bacterial small subunit ribosomal RNA
Source: RNAcentral